This 263-nucleotide ribosomal RNA is filed under the name uncultured bacterium. RNAcentral's name for it is "partial 16S ribosomal RNA". It matches the Rfam family "Bacterial small subunit ribosomal RNA", at positions 793 to 1055 of the family's 1533-position model. The record is from RNAcentral.
GUCCUAGCAGUAAACGAUGGAUACUAGGUGUGGGGGGUGUUGACCCCUCCUGUGCCGAAGCUAACGCAUUAAGUAUCCCGCCUGGGGAGUACGGUCGCAAGACUAAAACUCAAAGGAAUUGACGGGGACCCGCACAAGCAGCGGAGCGUGUGGUUUAAUUCGAUGCAACGCGAAGAACCUUACCUAGGCUUGACAUACACUCGCAACCUCUCGAAAGAGGGGCCUCCUUCGGGACGGGUGUACAGAUGCUGCAUGGCUGUCGU